RNAcentral lists this long non-coding RNA (874 nucleotides) under Danio rerio (zebrafish). Its description in RNAcentral is "si:dkey-150l7.8 (ENSDARG00000098951.3)". The record is from RNAcentral. Lineage: Eukaryota; Metazoa; Chordata; Actinopteri; Cypriniformes; Danionidae.
AUGGAAUGCAACUAAAAUCUGCUGGAAGGUUGACUAAAAAUGUUGGGUUCCACAAUCGUUUUGUGUUGAGACAAGAUAAUCGAAGUAGCUUAUUAUUAUAUAUUUUUUUGUUUUACAAAUUUAAGUAGAUUGAAUAUAAAAAACGAAUUUGUCCCAACAAAAUCUCAAGAAUUUUGUUAUUUUAACUCAUUUUAAGUAAGUAAUUCAAACAAGCAACAACAAAUUUUUUUUGGCUGGAGAUCUCCAAACACAGUGUUGGCCAACCCUGUCCAGACAUCAAAAGUCAUUCAAACAUCAGUUUGAGGGAAAACGUCUGCUCUUUAAAGACCCUCUACUCUUUGUGUCCUCCUCCUCUAUCAAAGGACCACCCCGUAGCAGUUUUGUGAGAUCUCCAAACAGUCCCCCUGUACUUAAACACACUGAGCAAACUCGCAACACCUCAAGCCUGAAAGAGGCUUUGUGCACAUCACAAUGUCUUUCACCACUGUGAACAUCAAUCCUCAGCCAACACCAUCACUACGUAUUCCAGGUUGUAUUAGCAAAUACACAUGCAUUCAUACAAAUAAUGAGCUAAUAUUUGACCUAAAACACUGGGAGGUCAGGAAAUCAGAGACAUUUUGUGCGGCCUGUUGUUAUACAGAGCAGGUUGUAUCACGGUGGAUGAUUAUUUCUUUAUUAUGAAGAGGGAAAAUUAGAGCAUUUGCAUACAUUGGAUUAUAAUGAAUUGGAUUGUGAUGUGAGGCCCAGAGGCAUAAUAUUUAAACCCAGUGUUUGAACAUAUACAGAUGUUUUUUGAGUGUACGAUGUUCGUACUUUGGAUUUCAAUUGCUUUUUGUGUGUGUGUGACAAUGCAAUAAAAUGAUUUAAGUAUGAA